RNAcentral lists this ribosomal RNA (248 nucleotides) under uncultured bacterium. Its description in RNAcentral is "partial 16S ribosomal RNA". It matches the Rfam family "Bacterial small subunit ribosomal RNA", at positions 85 to 334 of the family's 1533-position model. The record is from RNAcentral.
CGUAUGGCGACCGGCGCACGGGUGAGUAACACGUAUCCAACCUGCCGAUGACUCGGGGAUAGCCUUUCGAAAGAAAGAUUAAUACCCGAUGGCAUAGUUCUUCCGCAUGGUAGAACUAUUAAAGAAUUUCGGUCAUCGAUGGGGGUGCGUUCCAUUAGGUUGUUGGCGGGGUAACGGCCCACCAAGCCUUCGAUGGAUAGGGGUUCUGAGAGGAAGGUCCCCCACAUUGGAACUGAGACACGGUCCAA